UAUCCUACGGGGGCCAGCAGUGGGGAAUAUUGCACAAUGGGCGCAAGCCUGAUGCAGCCAUGCCGCGUGUAUGAAGAAGGCCUUCAGGUUGUAAAGUACUUUCAGCGGGGAGGAAGGGAGUAAAGUUAAUACCUUUGCUCAUUGACGUUACCCGCAGAAGAAGCACCGGCUAACUCCGUGCCAGCAGCCGCGGUAAUACGGAGGGUGCAAGCGUUAAUCGGAAUUACUGGGCGUAAAGCGCACGCAGGCGGUUUGUUAAGGUAGGUGAGAAAUCC
Molecule: ribosomal RNA, 275 nt
Filed under: uncultured bacterium
Lineage: Bacteria
Description: partial 16S ribosomal RNA
Rfam family: Bacterial small subunit ribosomal RNA
Source: RNAcentral